UGCCGCACUCAACCUGUUUCCCUUCUUCCUUUCAUUCACACAAACGCAACACAAUUAGAAGCAGCAUCAACGCUGCAAUGAGAAAGAAGAGAAGCUGAAAGGGAGAUAUGAGAGAAGAAGGGUUCAGAGAGGAGGGAGACGCCGUCCUCCUUAUCGCCGGAACCGCGAGGAGCGUCGCCGCCGAAACCGUGCCCUUCGUCCCUGCCCAGUCGUGGUUCUGCCAUCCAUCACCCCAUUCCAUCGCCUGAAGAUAAUCACGACGACGAGAGAGAGAGAGAGAGAGCUCGUGCACGAAGGGAGGACGAAGGGAGCGCGCAGGGAGAGGAAGGAGGCGCUGUUCAGCCGCUGCACCUCGCCGCCAUCGCUGGAGAUCUGGGAGUCGCCGUCGAUCGCCAUUGAGCCACGCCGAACCCAGAACUGCGAACGUGAGGGAUGCGAUGCAGGAGCCCGACGCGAGAAAGAGAGAGCGCGCGUGCGUGCGCAUGGGGAGGGCGGCGCUGCUGUCAUCGCCGUUGCUGAGCUGCCGUCGCCGUUCCUCCAGAGCCGCCACCUCUAGGUCUAUCACCGUUGAGCAGAUCCGCAAAGAGAGAGAGAGAAAACCUGGGAAGAGGCCGCUGCCGGAGGAGAAGCCAAUCGCGCCACCGUGCUCGGCCGCCGAGACACGUCGCUGCCGCCGCCGCCAGGGAGCUUCACCAGAGCUCUGUCAUUGCCCAGUUGUCGCCAUCAUGGUGGGUCGCGCUGCCAAGUUUUUGUUGCCGGGAUCUACUGCCGCUAUUACAGUUGCUGUCGUUAGAGAUUCAGGCCGCUGCCGUCGCUAAAAAAUUGUUGACGGAGCUGCUGCCUGGUCGAGUUGGAGUUGCGGCUGUUUCGCUUUGCUAUUUCAGAAUUAGUAUCCAAGCUUAUAUGUUGCGUUGAGGCUAUUUCUGCUAUUGAGAAAAGCAAGCGGAGCUGGGAUUUUGGUUGUUGGUUUCGGGCCGAGACGAAAGGCUUUCCUAUGACGCGUAGGGUUAUGGUUUUGCAUAUUUGAGAUGACUCACAAACUGUCUUCCCUAAAUCAAGUAACCUAAGGAGAAACUCCUCAAGCGUUUCCCACCGCCGCUGACCACCGCCGCAGGUCUUACCAUCGCCAACGACCGUCCAUCAUCCUUCACUGAUUCACACUCAUUCAAAUUGAUCGUUCUUCAUGUUUCCAUCCUCUCCCCUCAUAUCUGCAUCGCUAUUCUUGCUCGUUCGUGUCUCAGAUCUCCAUUGCUAGGUUCGGUUCCUAUCUUAAAGCAUCGUUAAUGGUGGCAGGAAAGCCAACGCGGAGGUUAAGGAGGUUCUUGAUCAGAUGCUCACUCGUUUGGCUCUCUGCAACGAUUCCAAGCUUGAGCCCUUACUCUCCAAGCUUCUCCCUCUCUGCAUACCUUCACUCUCCUUAAACUCCGCCGCUGUUUGCAACAAGGAUUUCAAAUUUGCAGUUGCUAGCAACUUAGGGCACAUUGGAGUUAGAAUAUAAGAGGGAAGAUAGUUUCAGCAUUGAAUUCAUGGAUUUUCAAUCCGAAGAGUUUUCACAGUGGAACUAGUAAGAGUGAAGGGUGGCAAGAUAACUAGAGAGCCUGGUCCUGUCAAGGGAGGCAGCACUGUCAUUGCAUUCAUUGAAGAUCCUGAUGGCUACAAAUUUGAACUUUUGGAAAGAGGCCCCACUCCCAAGCCCUUGUGCCAAGUGAUGCUUCGAGUCGGUGAUCUUAAGCGUUCUAUAGAAUUUUAUGAGAAGGCUUUUGGUAUGGAGCUCCUUCGCACUCGAGAUAAUCCAGAAUACAAGAUGUACAGAAGCAUGAGGGGUGACUUGGGAGGACAAGGUAGGAUUUCAUCAAGCCAACAUAGGAACCAAUCUUUUGAGGAACAUGAUGAUGGAUGUGUUAAAGAAGUGAAUGAUGUUAAUAAUAAUAAUAAUCAUAAUCAAAACUAUCAUCCAUGUUCACAAUCCAUUGGAAAAGAAUCCGAUUCUCUUCGGAUACAGUAACUUCUCCCUAAAAAGGACUAGAAUGAGAGAAACUAUUCCAUAUCUCAGAACCUGCAAUGCAGGAACCAAAGAACAGUGCCAUAUCCGUACUCCUUUUAUAAUUAUGCUUAUUCAACUCAACAACAACAACAUCAACCACCUCAUUCCACAGUUUUCCCUAUGCUGCCACCACUUCUUGGAAAUUUCCUCCAGAUCAUCUACUGAAAGCAGUUAUUUGUAGUUCAUGUUCCCUCCACCUCUCAAGUAUUUUAUUUUUUUGCUUGAAAAGGGGAAUUGACUGUUGUGGAUAUCCAAGAAAUCAAGAGUGGUGCCAUGCCCCAAGAUUUGUUUAUUGCUAGUAGUAGUACCUUAGUAGGUUGCAAAUCUUUGCCAUGCCAUAAGCUGCAGUAGUAUGGUACUUCUAGAAAAUUUACUUUGGUUCAAAGUAACAAAACAUUUAAGUACUGUGUUUGAAAAUUUAAUUAGAAUUUUUAAACUUAUUACUACAAGCUUGAUUAUAAUAUCUUCUAGUGUUCUUCUCACGGGCCACCACUGCAUUCUUCUUUUGCACCGUCGUGCGCCGUAUCAAACGUGCCAAAGAAUUGGAUGCAGUAUCUGGUUUAAAGAACGAGUUAGCAAAACGUCUUCUGAACCUGAAUGUUUCAUGCUUUAGUAUGGCUCCUGGUAAGGGAGUGUAAUGUUAAUAAUGUACAUAUACUGAACAAUUAUUAUUUAGUUUUAGCAAGGUAGCUGUUUCUUUAUGUACAGUGCUCUGGAGCUUUUUCUGGUUAAAAGAAAGAUUAAGAGACCCUUGUGGCUACAGGUUUCGAACUUUUCAAAGCAAAGCAAGAGCAAAGACCAACUUCAAAGUUAGGAGAACUGUGUCAUUAGUGUCAAGGCGAAAAAUAUUGCCAAGUUAUCAAUUCCUUGAAAAGUAGCCAAAGGUUUAUAGUUUUAGAUUCUUUAGUAUAUUCAUGAUUCAUGAUUUUCCUUCCUCAUUUACUUUUAAAUUCUUAGAUCAAUUACUAAAAACGAAAGCUAGGCUACUUUUAAAGGUGUACCUUUAGAUCAUUGCUAACACUUGUAUUGCUACAUUGAAAAAUGCCUUUACCGAUAAAUGUUAUAAUUGCCAUUAAAACCUUUUAGCGACAAAGCAUAAGACGGCUAAUGUCUAAUUGCCGGUAAAUGUAUUAAUGGCUAUUUUUAUUGCCGCUAAAAACAAAAAAUGGCCGUUAAAAAUUAUUUUUCUUGUAGUGUAUGUUGACUCAAUUAUAAAAACACCAAUAUGUUGCUGCCAUGGACCGAAUGAAGGUCACUUGACAUUGACGUGAGGACCAAAAUUCUCUACGAGAAUUUUUCGGGGUUAGUAAUUUUUAAAAGAGUGAAUACUCCAUCCGGC
This is an RNA transcript of Arachis duranensis, 3383 nucleotides long. RefSeq lists it as uncharacterized. The record is from RefSeq and is a predicted model, not a curated record. NCBI's taxonomy places the organism in Eukaryota, Viridiplantae, Streptophyta, Magnoliopsida, Fabales, Fabaceae. The transcript is spliced from 12 exons.